AUCUGGUUUUUGGUUGGUAGAGCGCUCCACUUGUAAUGGAGAGGUCCCGGGUUCGAUACCCGGACCAGGCG
RNAcentral lists this transfer RNA (71 nucleotides) under Ixodes scapularis (black-legged tick). It matches the Rfam family "tRNA". From Rfam's summary of the family: Transfer RNA (tRNA) molecules are approximately 80 nucleotides in length. Their secondary structure includes four short double-helical elements and three loops (D, anti-codon, and T loops). The record is from Rfam by way of RNAcentral. Lineage: Eukaryota; Metazoa; Arthropoda; Arachnida; Ixodida; Ixodidae.